This 1222-nucleotide unclassified non-coding RNA is filed under the name Hevea brasiliensis (rubber tree). Lineage: Eukaryota; Viridiplantae; Streptophyta; Magnoliopsida; Malpighiales; Euphorbiaceae. The record is from RNAcentral.
AGCUCUAGCUUUCUAUUGACUCCCUCUCGUGUCUCAUAUGUCUGCAACACGAAUGACUUGGGAAUUUUUAUAUAGCUACAAUUGCAUAAAGGAUUCAAUAUCUUCCCAAAAUACACAUGAUAUGAGACUCAAGUUUUCAUGUCAGACAUGAUUUGACAAGUGCAAUCCAAGAGCAUCCUACCUAAGUGAAAUAAGACAAAACCAGAAGACAUUAAGGACAGUAGCAGAAACUGAGGCAAUUGGACUCAUGCAGUGUUAAACCCAGAUGGAAGAGCAGAAUAGUCACUAUGUCAACAAUUUUCUUUUCUUUGAGGUACGGGCGAGGAAAAGAAUUAUUAUUCCCAAGUGCACAAAAAGAGUCAACCCCAUUUGGAGGUUUAUAACUUUGGUUGGACCAGAAUUGGGUAAUGGCCUUUUUCCUUUUUAUCCUUAAUUUAUAUGGAUGAACACACAUACAUCAAUUUCCCUGAUACAACACAAUAGGAGUGCUGAUAUCAAUGUCUUUCUAUUGCUAAACAAUUCAUAAUUUUGUUCGCUUUUUCUUCAUUCCAGAUCUUUUUCUUUUCCCUACCUAUAAAUGUAAAAUUCCUUAAUUGCUUGAAUCUAGAUCUCCUGGGCACAUUGACCCAUUUUUGGGUCCAUGAUGCAAUAAAAGUGAUCUAGCUUACUCCUAUAAACCAGCUGUUAAUGUAAGCUAGUUAGGACACCAAAGUUAAUCCUUCAAUCCACCACCAAAACCAGGCCAUCUUUGGUUUCACUUUGCUGCCACUAUCAUCAAUAUCUCAACCUCCCUGCACUCUCCUGGAGACCAUCAAUCUAUCAACCUUCAUUGGUAAUUUCACUUAGGGAGUCUUUCUUUGAGCCCAAGAAAUCAAAUGGAUCUGAAACACUUGUUUUUGGCUGAAAGGGAUAUUCCAGCCUGGAAUGAGCAAUUAGCCAAAAGAGUUGAAAUGAAACAAAAUUCAAAAUGAAAUAGCAUAGCUAGAUAUUGGUCCAGCAAUUACAUGUAUUAUAGAUCUUAUCAAAGAGAAGAUUAGCAAAUGACACAACCAUGGAAAAGAAUGUCACAGGGUGCCAAUGUAUGAUGCAAAUAAUAAGCAUGAGGCUCAUGGCAUUCUAAGAAUUAGGUAGGAAAACGAGAAAUCAUAGCUAGCAAUACAGUAGCCAAGCAAUUACAUGUAUUAUAUUGCUUAUCAAAGAAAACCUUAAUGCACAAAUCAAA